UGAGGCUUCCCACUUCAAGGCUG
This 23-nucleotide microRNA is filed under the name Microcaecilia unicolor. Its description in RNAcentral is "Mun-Mir-12477_5p (mature (guide))". Lineage: Eukaryota; Metazoa; Chordata; Amphibia; Gymnophiona; Siphonopidae. The record is from RNAcentral.